This 273-nucleotide ribosomal RNA is filed under the name Pseudomonas monteilii. Its description in RNAcentral is "partial 23S ribosomal RNA". It matches the Rfam family "Bacterial large subunit ribosomal RNA", at positions 1 to 267 of the family's 2925-position model. RNAcentral also lists the same sequence under 1 other name. Lineage: Bacteria; Pseudomonadati; Pseudomonadota; Gammaproteobacteria; Pseudomonadales; Pseudomonadaceae. The record is from RNAcentral.
GUUAUAUGGUCAAGUGAAGAAGCGCAUACGGUGGAUGCCUUGGCAGUCAGAGGCGAUGAAAGACGUGGUAGCCUGCGAUAAGCUUUGGGGAGUCGGCAAACAGACUGUGAUCCAGAGAUCUCUGAAUGGGGGAACCCACUCAGCAUAAGCUGAGUAUCUUGUACUGAAUACAUAGGUGCAAGAGGCGAACCAGGGGAACUGAAACAUCUAAGUACCCUGAGGAAAAGAAAUCAACCGAGAUUCCCUUAGUAGUGGCGAGCGAACGGGGACCAG